CAGAGGUAACGUCAUCGGUUGUUGCUGAGUGGAUGAAAGUGAUAGUAGGUCAGUUUCAGCCUUUCGGAAAUUCGGGUGAAGUUCUGAAUCCAAAUGUCCAGCUAGAUUGCAGCAAAUCCCGAAGUCCACCUCCUCUGGUAUUGUUCGAGACUUACCGGGAUGCCCGUGAUUAGAGUCACACUGCUUUAGAUUGUCUGGUUGCAGUCGCUGCAUUUCGGCGUUCAUCUUGGUCCGCUUGGCUGAAAGGGGCUCAAGCUGAGGCUGACUACGAUCACAAAGGCCAUCUGCUUUUCGCAACUUCCGGUCAUCGCAAGAAAACUUGGAAUAAAUUCAAGAGAAAGAUUUGCAGGAACGAUUUAUAUCCAAGAAUCCGCGGAAGUGGAAUAUAAAUCAGGCCACCAUCUUUUCGCAACUUCCGGUCAUCUGAAGAGAAGAACUUGGAAUAAUUCAAGAGAAAGAUUUGCAGGGACGAUUUAUGUCCAAGAAUCCGAGGAAGUGGAAUAUAAAUCAGGCCACCAGCUUUUCGCAACUUCCGGUCAUCUGAAGAAAAGAACUUGGAAUAAUUCAAGAGAAAGAUUUGCAGGGACGAUUUAUGUCCAAGAAUCCGAGGAAGUGGAAUAUAAAUCAGGCCAUCUGCUUUUCGCAACUUCCGGUCAUCGCAAGAAAACUUGGAAUAAAUUCAAGAGAAAGAUUUGCAGGAACGAUUUAUAUCCAAGAAUCCGAGGAAGUGGAAUAUAAAUCAGG
This is a long non-coding RNA of Macrobrachium nipponense, 744 nucleotides long. RefSeq lists it as uncharacterized. The record is from RefSeq and is a predicted model, not a curated record. Lineage: Eukaryota; Metazoa; Arthropoda; Malacostraca; Decapoda; Palaemonidae. The transcript has 6 exons.